RNAcentral lists this ribosomal RNA (496 nucleotides) under uncultured bacterium. RNAcentral's name for it is "bacterial SSU rRNA". It matches the Rfam family "Bacterial small subunit ribosomal RNA", at positions 28 to 518 of the family's 1533-position model. The record is from RNAcentral.
GAUGAACGCUAGCGGCAGGCUUAACACAUGCAAGUCGAGGGGUAACAUUGGUGCUUGCACCAGAUGACGACCGGCGCACGGGUGCGUAACGCGUAUGAAACCUACCUAAUACAGGGGGAUAGCCCAGAGAAAUUUGGAUUAAUACCCCAUGGUACUGUUGGAUUGCAUGAUUCAAUAGUUAAAGAUUUAUCGGUAUUAGAUGGUCAUGCGUUCUAUUAGUUAGUUGGUAAGGUAACGGCUUACCAAGACAGCGAUAGAUAGGGGCCCUGAGAGGGGGAUCCCCCACACUGGUACUGAGACACGGACCAGACUCCUACGGGAGGCAGCAGUGAGGAAUAUUGGACAAUGGAGGCAACUCUGAUCCAGCCAUGCCGCGUGAAGGAAGACUGCCCUAUGGGUUGUAAACUUCUUUUAUAGAGGAAGAAAACGUGAAUACGUGUAUUCAUUUGACGGUACUCUACGAAUAAGGAUCGGCUAACUCCGUGCCAGCCGCCGC